This is a long non-coding RNA of Gouania willdenowi (blunt-snouted clingfish), 1216 nucleotides long. The record is from Ensembl. NCBI's taxonomy places the organism in Eukaryota, Metazoa, Chordata, Actinopteri, Blenniiformes, Gobiesocidae.
CCAGCCCAACCCCUUACACUGAUUCUGGAGAUUGAAAUCACAAGACUGAAAGAGCAAACAAAAGCAGAAAGGCAUCAGAUCAUGCAUCUCCCUGUAUCCAUUCUCUUCCUCCUCAUAGGCUCCACCUCAGCAAAAAAACAAGGAGAUUUUGGCCUUUUUACUGCUUGCUUCACCAACAAUGACAGCCUCAGGUUGGAUUGCUCUUAUGCAAAAUGUCCCAGCUCUCCGCCCUUCACCUGUGAGUUUGUGGGUUUGCCUUGGAGCCCUCCAUACAAUUCCACUAACAGGUGCAGACGUCUAAUUCCUGAACACCGUCAGCUGUACCGCAAUGUGACUACAAACUACACAUGCAUACUGACCAGAAGGAAGAGGAAUGAAAAUAAGACAAUCACCAUUGACUACAGUAUAAAAAAAGGAAGAGGAAUAAUCAAGUCCUGCCGUGACAGCUCGGGAACAUUACUGCAACAUACUUUCAUCCUCUUGGUGCCUGUUGGAAUUUUAUGCCUUUAGAAUGACCUGGUUACAGAGAGCAUGCUGAUCUGAUUGGGUACGACUAUUAACUGUUUACACAGCACUGUACAUGAUAGGAUUUUGUGAAUAACAAAUGAGAUCAUGGUAAUCUUUGAAUUAUAUUGGGACCUGCCAACUGUAAAACUUAACUUGUCCUUUUUCAAUGUUUGUAAAAACUAUAGUCUACUAAUUCACCAUUUCUUCACAAAGCUCAGUUUGUUGAAUCAGUUUAAAAAUGUGUUGUUACAGAUUCUCUCAUGAUGCAUGAUAAUCAAUCUAUUAAGUCCUUACUUUUUAGAUGUGUAUUCCCCAUAACAUACACACAAGUCAUAUUUAUUCCAAGAUAACUCCACGAUAAUUAGGACUUUGUGUAUAAACUUGGUAUCUGUAAAGGCCAGACCUCGUGUAUAAACAUCCUUAAGAACAUUUUGAAUGUUAAAAUGCCUCAUUGAUAUGGGAAAGAUUAAACAAUAUAUUCUGACAGAGUAUUAUACAAUGUGCAAUGUUGUGAAUUCUCAACCUUUCUCAUUAUACAAUACUCUUUCAGAAUAUAUGUAUGCAGCAUGAUACCAGAGAAUAGGUUUAAUUAUGUUUUCAUGUAUGACAGUUCAAAACAGGUCUUAAAGGGUAAUAAUGUAAUUGUAUUGGCUUUAUGCUGCAGUUAGAGUGUCAUGUUUUAAGGAAAUGAAAUGUACUCUGUUUCCAG